RNAcentral lists this long non-coding RNA (330 nucleotides) under Piliocolobus tephrosceles (Ugandan red Colobus). RNAcentral describes it as "lncRNA (ENSPTEG00000025263.1)". Lineage: Eukaryota; Metazoa; Chordata; Mammalia; Primates; Cercopithecidae. The record is from RNAcentral.
GUCCUGCAAAAUAUGGGGAUAGAGCUCACAUCUAGAGAACACUUGGAGCUAGAGAAAUUACUUCCAAUUGAUGCUAAUGGAAAAAUAUAUAAGAAUAGGUUGCUGAAUUGUGUGAAAGGGAUAAAAGAGUUGCAAGUCAAUGUUCAUGACAUUGACAGUAUACUCGGAAACAUGGCAUUCAAACUCACAGCUGAGGAACUUAAUGAUCUAACCCCAAAUCUACCAGUGAAUGGUGAGAAACUUAAUAGCUUUGCACCCUCAAGAGAAUUUGGAUUUUUAAUAGCUUUGCACCCUGAAGAGAAUUUUGGCUGAUAUUUUUGAUAGUUCUUA